Molecule: ribosomal RNA, 434 nt
Filed under: Tannerella forsythia
Lineage: Bacteria; Pseudomonadati; Bacteroidota; Bacteroidia; Bacteroidales; Tannerellaceae
Description: bacterial SSU rRNA
Rfam family: Bacterial small subunit ribosomal RNA
Source: RNAcentral
GAUGAACGCUAGCGAUAGGCUUAACACAUGCAAGUCGAGGGGCAUCGAGGGUAGCAAUACCUGUCGGCGACCGGCGCACGGGUGAGUAACGCGUAUGUAACCUGCCCGCAACAGAGGGAUAACCCGGCGAAAGUCGGACUAAUACCUCAUAAAACAGGGGUUCCGCAUGGGGCUAUUUGUUAAAGAUUUAUUGGUUGCGGAUGGGCAUGCGUACCAUUAGGUAGUUGGUGAGGUAACGGCUCACCAAGCCAUCGAUGGUUAGGGGUUCUGAGAGGAAGGUCCCCCACACUGGUACUGAGACACGGACCAGACUCCUACGGGAGGCAGCAGUGAGGAAUAUUGGUCAAUGGGCGAGAGCCUGAACCAGCCAAGUCGCGUGAAGGAUGACUGCCCUAUGGGUUGUAAACUUCUUUUACAGGGGAAUAAAAUGAGAU